GAUAAUUUAGUGAAGUUCACGUCAUUAUUUCAUGAUGAAGAUGUUUUAGUUUUCU
Molecule: transfer RNA, 55 nt
Filed under: Lycosa grahami
Lineage: Eukaryota; Metazoa; Arthropoda; Arachnida; Araneae; Lycosidae
Description: tRNA-Glu
Source: RNAcentral